UGGGGAAUAUUGCACAAUGGGCGCAAGCCUGAUGCAGCCAUGCCGCGUGUAUGAAGAAGGCCUUCGGGUUGUAAAGUACUUUCAGCGGGGAGGAAGGGAGUAAAGUUAAUACCUUUGCUCAUUGACGUUACCCGCAGAAGAAGCACCGGCUAACUCCGUGCCAGCAGCCGCGGUAAUACGGAGGGUGCAAGCGUUAAUCGGAAUUACUGGGCGUAAAGCGCACGCAGGCGGUUUGUUAAGUCAGAUGUGAAAUCCCCGGGCUCAACCUGGGAGAUGCAUCUGAUACUGGCAAGCUUGAGUCUCGUAGAGGGGGGUAGAAUUCCAGGUGUAGCGGUGAAAUGCGUAGAGAUGUGGAGGAAUACCGGUGGCGAAGGCGGCCCCCUGGACAAAGACUGACGCUCAGGUGCGAAAGCGUGGGGAGCAAACAGG
This 429-nucleotide ribosomal RNA is filed under the name Chloroflexota bacterium. Its description in RNAcentral is "Chloroflexi bacterium partial 16S ribosomal RNA". It matches the Rfam family "Bacterial small subunit ribosomal RNA", at positions 355 to 776 of the family's 1533-position model. Lineage: Bacteria; Bacillati; Chloroflexota. The record is from RNAcentral.